CGACCGUUUGGGAUUGUGGGGUGGAGUUGGCCUAAGCCGUGUUUCGGGCGGGGCGUCGCCUUCGUCGCCGGCGCGGCACCGGCGGACUCUCUCCGUCUCCUCUCUUGCCCCCACUCGCGGCUCCUCUUCCUCGAACGUGCUCCUGCGGCCACUGGCCAUGGGGUGCAAGGGCGCAUCGGGCUGGGCCUCCUCUGCUUCCGCAGCCGCGGGUCUCCAUGGACGAGGACGACGACCGGGAUCCCAAAUCCCAACGAGGACACCGUCGACCUUGACCUAGUCUACUCCCCACACAACACAAGUUUGGACAGUGUAAACUGCUGCAGCUGCUGAUCAGGAAUGAACAGGCCGGCACUUUGGUGGUUCAGUGGAUAUCCAUCCAUUUCUCCAUGGCUGACUGAAACUAGCUACAUCCAAUGCUCUACUCUUCCAACUUGUUUUGGUCAAUUUCAAGGACCACAUUUGUAAAUUGGCUUGAUUCAGUCAGUUAUGAUGAGUAACCAAUCGACUUAUACAGUGCAACAGAUCGUAGUUAUAAUUGUACAGUCCAAUUAUGUCCUAACUCUAGCACUAGCAAACGCUUUGCUUCCAUCUGGUGAAGACGACGACCUCGCUCGACAGCGAGCUCGAGUCUACCAUGAUUCCCCACACAAGGAGGUCUCUCCCUCUCACUCUCACUCUCACUCUGUUUAUUUUUGACAAGUAGGAUUUGGUACACAACACUUCAGUUACAUCCAUGUUGUUGCACCUACUUCCUUCACAUUAUGUGGCAAUUAAAAUGGAACCAUGUUCCCCUGUUA
Hordeum vulgare subsp. vulgare (domesticated barley) is the source of this 797-nucleotide long non-coding RNA. RefSeq lists it as uncharacterized. The record is from RefSeq and is a predicted model, not a curated record. Lineage: Eukaryota; Viridiplantae; Streptophyta; Magnoliopsida; Poales; Poaceae. The transcript is spliced from 3 exons.